This is a long non-coding RNA of Ceratina calcarata, 3190 nucleotides long. RefSeq lists it as uncharacterized. The transcript is spliced from 3 exons. Lineage: Eukaryota; Metazoa; Arthropoda; Insecta; Hymenoptera; Apidae. The record is from RefSeq and is a predicted model, not a curated record.
ACUACAACUACCACUACCUUCGCAACCACUACCACUACCACUACAUACCACGAAUCCGCGUCACCGCUUCUACGCGACUACCACGCCAAAGCGCUCGCCACCACUACCAACCACUACCUACCACCAUCUCUUCCUCUACCACGACACUAUCACCAACCACUGUCCUUACUACUACCAUCGAGAGCGGAGUCUCCACCAUCGACGCAACCCGGCACCACUGGAUUCUCUCCUCUACCCUUCAACCACUAUCCAUUGCCACCAAAGCACCCGGCUACCGGCACAGUUUCCCUUGUGUAGGUGGAAUAACCCCCUCGUCUAUAUCCUCGGCUACCGGUGCAGCAGGUAGAUACUGACGACGCUACUACUAUACGUCCCCCCUUCCUCUUCGUCUUCUUCCGCACCCGCCACCUUCGAACUCUCCACCAUCCCGCCGAUAUACACCAUCGUCUACCCCCUUUCUCUUUCGCGUUUCCCACCGUCAACCCGGUCGUCUCUCUUUCCCCCCUUUUUGCUCUUCCCAUACUCUUCGUACCACCUACCCUUUCUUCCUGCCACGUCGGAAAGCUCGUGAGUGCCUGGCUGCUUUCCUACCUAACGUGUAGUACGACAGAGUACGCGCGACUACGCGAGCAGUAUCGUGCAGGAUGUAUUCCGGUGUUGUACGAACAGUCUAAAUGAUUCUCUCACUCCUAUCUUGCUAACAAAAUUGCGCAUACAGGAGAUAGGAACAAACAUUUUAAUCGGCAACGUAAAAAAUUCAAUUCGUCUACGCAAUUAUUUGCAAAACUAAUAUAAUCGAUAGUAGAAACAUAGUGUGCUACGAGAAAGAUUGAAAACAAACCACUAGAAUACGACUGUGUUCGAGCAUUUGUAAUGGUAAGACGAAAUCGGAGAAAUCAUUGAUCCUGUUUUUACGGCAGCGCGUUAGGCGUGUAUAAUUAUUCGUCGUUACUUGCGACGACGAUACCCCGCAACGACCACAGUGAUGUUGGGCGAGAGUUGUGUGUUAAUGAACGUCGAGUUACAAGAGUUUCUCACUCCGUCGUGAAUACGAGGGUUCCAUAAACCAAAGACUACGUGCAAGUAUUUCUUUCAUCACUCUAUUAAUUAAAAAAUUGUCCUUACCCGAAAAUGUUCUUAUUCAAAUUAAAUACACUAUUGCCAAAUGAAUGCAUUGUUAUAAUAUAAAUAUUCAUGUAUGCAAUUGAAUAUAAAUAUCAGUCAAUCUAUUAUUAUCUGUCUAUGAUGCAUUUAAUUGUUAUCGGUAAUUGAUUAUAAUGCAUAAAAUACCGGCUUCAAAUACUUUCUCAAUUUUCCGCAUGCCUUGUACAAUUAAAACAGAUGAAAAAUUUAUUCAGGUUUAUAUUUUUGCAUGUAAUUUUCUUAAUUAUCGUACACGUGAUUAUACCUCUUACGUGUACAUAUAUCAUCAUAUAAUCCUUUCAUCAGCAGUGAUGAAUUUAAAUUUCGUACUUCGUCGUAGCGACGAAUCAGAGGAUUGGUUGCGUCAUCUUUCCGGCUCGCUGAAGGGGAAGAGAUAUUUCGUCUGGUAUAAUUUCAUUCGCGUCGCAAUGCGAAGCGUUAAUUAUCGGCCUUCGGUGACGUUCCCGGGAAAUCGAGUUCCGACCUGGGUGUAUCUUGUCAUCUCGUCGACGCGACGCGAUGCGACGUUACGUCGCGUCGCUGUAUGUAAGUAUGAACAGAGCAGUCCACAUUGUGCGUCCGUCAACUCUCACCCGAUCGAUAGAUCGCGUUCGAAUAAGUUUGGCACCAGAAAUCAAAUCGGUUACAUUGUGUAACAAUACGGGGGAAUUAAUUUAAGUCGAUACCGUCCAUCGAUGGGAAUCGAAAAGUGGUGCCGCAAAGUUGUUUGCCUAUCGUUAUCGACAAAACGCGCCACGAAACGAGCUGCGCUGCCCGCGAAUCUAAUAAUCCUGUACGCAAACUGCAAUUAACAGGCGAAAAGUUUAAUUCCAUCGAGCGGUCCGCGCGCAAUUAAUCGCCGCUACCGGCUGAUCGAAUAUCAAACACUGCACCGCACGGAGACAAGUUACGAAAAUAACAGUUACGUUAUGGAAACAAUCAAUGAGGAUAAAUAAAAAAGUGAAAAAAGCCAGCAAGCAGAAUACCUGUAGACUACUUUAGAAACGACUGCAUCCGAAUAUUUCAUUGGAAAUCGAAGCGAAGCCAGCAAGAAUCAACUAAAUCCCCGAAGUCAUUUACUAAGCGCGCAAAAAAUCGUUGCCGAAGUCUGAUUUUUAGUAAUCAAACCAUAAGAAAGAUUGUAAAGACGUGGAAGUAACAUGAAAUUAUAAUUCUGAUAAUGGAUUAGUUUUUGUAUAGCAAACUACGUUUUAUGACCCGAAACUAAAUUUUUUCAAUAAAUAUUCACGUACAUUUCGCUUCACAUUGAUCGAUUGAGUUUCAGUAAUAUUCCUAGUUUCAAAUAUAAUCCAGAAGAUUCUGUGAUACAAAAUAAUUUAGAGACAACUGUCACAAAUACGUACUACGUGACCGCAAGAGUAAAUUGCAUCGUGCACCAAAAAUAUAUUUAUUGAAAGGAAGAGGAACGCAUUUGGUACGAAAGCAUCAUCUGGAUCUGCGUUUCCUCGCUUCCGAACCUAUCUUCUUCCUUUCCUCUAUCGUUCCAAGCCAGCAAAAUCGUCCACUUACAUGAAAUAUACGAGCAGGCAAUAUUUUAAGAUCUCCGAGCGUAAUAAUACUAUCGUACUUUCUGGGAGGGCGUUACAGCCAACUGGGCCGGCGAACAACCAUAAAAAUUCAACGAACGAGAUGGUACACCGUCCCGCUACAUUUUUUACAUUACGUGCAUACAUACAUAGAAGUUAACCACCGCGUCUAUAAUCUAUCCUUAUCUUCGUUAACAGAUUCGAGCACACUCUUAUUCCGCAAAAUGGCUUUCCUGUAAAUCGUGGCCGAAUCGUUUCGUCGCGUGGAUAAUCUUUCCUGCCCCCUACAACCCGCGAUACUAAUUCACCAAGCCGUCCAGCACAGUCGUAAAUAACCUCUUUCCUGGCUCUAGCUUUUACUCGCCUCUUAAUUCCCACCCGCAGAGUCUUACUGUUAGUAGCUUUGAUAGAGGAUCAGCGAUUUAAACGGUAAAACUAAACUAAGUAAGCAAUGUGUUAAUUCCUACCGUUGACAUAAAAUUUCAAAUAAAUGUAAUGAA